AUGUCAUUUUAAAGAAUGCUUUUUAGGCUGUGAAACUAAGAGCUCUUAAACUCUGUGGCCAAAGAUUUCAGUUCACCAUAGAAUGAUACAGACACUCUACAUCAGUGUCUAUUAUCAAACUUGGGGGUCAAAGC
Cricetulus griseus (Chinese hamster) is the source of this 134-nucleotide small nucleolar RNA. NCBI's taxonomy places the organism in Eukaryota, Metazoa, Chordata, Mammalia, Rodentia, Cricetidae. The record is from Ensembl.